AUAACCAUGUAAACAUGGGAUAAUGGAAUAGGACCCUGUCCUCCUAUUUUCAGUUGGUUUUGGCAGCGCGAGGACUAGGGUAAUGAUUAAUAGGGAUAGUUGGGGGCAUUAAUAUUUAAUUGUCAGAGGUGAAAUUCUUGGAUUUAUGAAAGAUUAACUUCUGCGAAAGCAUCUGCCAAGGAUGUUUUCAUUAAUCAAGAACGAAAGUUAGGGGAUCGAAGACGAUCAGAUACCGUCGUAGUCUUAACCAUAAACGAUGCCGACCAGCGAUUAGGAGACGUUGAAUACAAAACACCACCAUCGGUGCGGUCGUCCUUGGCGUCGGUUUCGGCCGGCGCGGGGGCGGCUUAGCCCGGUGGCACCGGUGAAUGACUCCCCUAGCAGCUUGUGAG
RNAcentral lists this ribosomal RNA (392 nucleotides) under Acanthamoeba sp. hs-A. RNAcentral describes it as "SSU rRNA". It matches the Rfam family "Eukaryotic small subunit ribosomal RNA", at positions 795 to 1094 of the family's 1831-position model. The record is from RNAcentral. Lineage: Eukaryota; Discosea; Longamoebia; Acanthamoebidae.